Molecule: ribosomal RNA, 492 nt
Filed under: uncultured bacterium
Lineage: Bacteria
Description: partial 16S ribosomal RNA
Rfam family: Bacterial small subunit ribosomal RNA
Source: RNAcentral
AUUGAACGCUGGCGGCAUGCUUUACACAUGCAAGUCGAACGGUAACAGGUUAAGCUGACGAGUGGCGAACGGGUGAGUAAUGCAUCGGAACGUGCCCGAUCGUGGGGGAUAACGCAGCGAAAGCUGCGCUAAUACCGCAUACGAUCUGAGGAUGAAAGCGGGGGACCGUAAGGCCUCGCGCGAUCGGAGCGGCCGAGGUCAGAGUAGGUAGGUGGUGGGGUAAAGGCUCACCAAACCGACGAUCUGUAGCUGGUCUGAGAGGACGACCAGCCCAACUGGGACUGAGACACGGCCCGUACUCCGACGGGAGGCAGCAGUGGGGAAUUUUGGACAAUGGGCGAAAGACUGAUCCAGCAAUGCCGCGUGCAGGAAGAAGGCCUUCGGGUUGUAACCUGCUUUUGUACGGAGCGAAAAGGCUCUCUCUAAUACAGGGGGCUCAUGACGGUACCGUACGAAUAAGCACCGGCUAACUACGUGCCAGCCGCCGCCUAA